This 167-nucleotide small RNA is filed under the name bovine gut metagenome. RNAcentral describes it as "Clostridiales-1 RNA". It matches the Rfam family "Clostridiales-1 RNA". The record is from RNAcentral.
GAUAUCAGGGUCAAAAGGUCAAAAAGUCGUUCGUGCUUGCACGAUAAGACUUUUGAACUUGGGACCCACCAAACAUGAGAAAGUAGCGAUUUACGCAGUAAAUCAGCGGAUUUCGAAUGUUUGAGAAUUGCGGGAGCUGCUAUGCAGCGGAGCAAUUCGUGGAUAUC